CCUACGGGGGGCUGCAGUGGGGAAUAUUGCACAAUGGGGGGAACCCUGAUGCAGCGACGCCGCGUGAGUGAAGAAGUAUUUCGGUAUGUAAAGCUCUAUCAGCAGGGAAGAAGAUGACGGUACCUGACUAAGAAGCCCCGGCUAACUACGUGCCAGCAGCCGCGGUAAUACGUAGGGGGCAAGCGUUAUCCGGAUUUACUGGGUGUAAAGGGAGCGUAGGCGGCAGGGCAAGUCUGGAGUGAAAGCCCGGGGCUCAACCCCGGAACUGCUUUGGAAACUGCCAUGCUGGAGUGCGGGAGAGGUAAGCGGAAUUCCUAGUGUAGCGGUGAAAUGCGUAGAUAUUAGGCAGAACUCCAGUGGCGAAGGCGGCUUACUGGACAGUAACUGACGUUGAGGCUCGAAAGCGUGGGGAGCAAACAGGAUUAGAUACCCGAGUAGUC
RNAcentral lists this ribosomal RNA (440 nucleotides) under uncultured bacterium. Its description in RNAcentral is "partial 16S ribosomal RNA". It matches the Rfam family "Bacterial small subunit ribosomal RNA", at positions 338 to 795 of the family's 1533-position model. The record is from RNAcentral.